AUGGCGAACGGCUGCGGUACAAAGCUCACAUGGAUCUUUGCGCUGCUUCUCAUCCUGGUCAUGGCAAUUCAAGUCCGAGCCCAACCUCCUCCUGGGUUCAUAAACAUCGAUUGUGGAUUGAAAAACUUCAGUGCCUACCCUGACGCCAACUUAAAUCUACGGUACAGUUCUGACGAUGAAUUUGUCGAGAGCGGUGAGAAACACGAGGUUUUACCCGAGUUCAUGGCUAGCACAGCAGAUGAUAACCAAAACACCCUGAGGAGCUUCCCUGAUGGUUCAAGGAAUUGUUAUACACUGCCAUCCACCCCCGGUAAGAAGUAUCUGUUGAGGGCCAUAUUUACUUAUGGCAACUAUGAUAGGUUGAACAAGACUCAGGACGGGUCCCUGUUUCGGUUUGGGCUCUAUAUCGGCGUCAAUUUCUGGGAUUCGGUGGACUUGUCAAAUUCUCCUACAGAUAAAGCGGUAUGGAAGGAGGUGCUCACCGUUGCUACAGGCAGCUCCGUGUCCGUUUGCCUGGUAAACUUCGGUUCCGGGACUCCUUUCAUAUCUUCUUUGGAGCUGAGGCCACUACUAGAUACCAUGUACCCUUUUGUCAAUACUUCUGUGUCAGUCAGCUACUUUAUUCGAUUCAGAUUUGGCAACAUCACCGACUAUGUCACAAGAUACCCAACGGAUAAUUAUGACCGUUUCUGGGAAAGCUAUUCUGGGAAAAGGACGGAAGUCCAGCACUACCCCUAUAUCAGCCUGAACACCAGCAAUAACUUGGAGAACCUCCCAGGCAACAACGACUUCAGGGUGCCAUCCGCCAUCUUGCAGAAUGCCAUGAGCAUAGACGCAAACAAUUCCUCCAUAAUAAUCAGCGAGUCAUCGGGAGCCAAUAAAGACCCUCAAACCCUACAGAUUCUCUCGAUCUUUCACUUCACCGAGCUAAACGGGAGCAACCCGAACAGGAGGUUCAAUAUUUACAGCGCCGGCGAAGGGCUGUUCCCAGGUUUUUCUCCGUCACGAUUAAAGGUGGACAGCAUGUACAAGAGCGGGCUUUUCGCGCAGAAGGGCGACGCAUACUUCAUCUUAAACAAGACGGCCGGCUCGAGUCUUCCGCCACUCAUCAACGCGUUGGAGUUGUACGCGCUUGUUUUGAUGAAGAAUCUCACCACCGACUCUGAUGAUGUAAAGUACAUGAAAGACGUCAAGGCACAAUACAAUUUGGCACGGACAAGCUGGAAUGGAGAUCCAUGCUCCCCAGUAGAGUAUUCCUGGAAAGGAUUGACUUGUGACUACUCUAAGAGCAAUCAGAUUCCGAGGAUUGUAACGGUCAAUCUUUCUAGCAGUGGACUAGGUGGUGGACUUGCCAUAUCAUUCAUGAACAUGACAUCAUUACAGAACUUGGAUUUAUCACACAACAAUCUGACGGGAGCUAUUCCAGACUAUCAACUAAAGUCACUUAAAGUUCUUAACUUGUCAAAUAACAAGCUAGAUGGACCAAUCCCUGAUUCUAUUCUUCAACGAGUCCAGGCCGGUCAGCUGGACUUAAGAUUAGAAGGCAAUCCUAUAUGCUCAAACAAAAAAGAUACAUACUGCUUAAAUAAGACGAAGAAGAGGAAAACCACAACUAUCUUGCUCAUCGCAGUGAUAGUUCCCGUGGUACUGAUAUCACUUGUAGUAGGAGUGUGCAUACUCUGGAAGUUAUUUUGGAAAGAGAAGUCAACAUACAAUGAGGAUUAUGCUAUGUAUGAAGAGGAAACUCCCCUACAUAUUGACAUCAGACGGUUCGCAUACGCGGAGUUGAAGCUCAUAACAAAAAACUUCCAAAGAAUCGUUGGAAAAGGAGGCUUUGGUAUUGUUUAUCAUGGCAUACUAGAAAAUGGUGAUGAGGUAGCUGUUAAAGUGCUCAUGGAGACAUCAAUAGCAGAGUCAACGGACUUCCUCCCUGAGGUGCAAACCUUGUCCAAAGUUCAUCAUAAGAAUCUCGUGACUUUAAAAGGAUAUUGCCAGAACAAGAAGUGCCUAGCACUCGUUUAUGACUUCAUGCCUGGUGGAAAUCUUCAACAACUUCUAAGAGGAGGAGACAUAUGUAGUUUGAAUUGGGAACAACGACUUCAUAUUGCACUUGAUGCUGCACAAGGAUUAGAGUAUCUACAUGAGUUAUGCACACCGUCAAUAGUGCACAGAGAUGUGAAGACCCCAAACAUUCUUCUGGACAAGAACCUGGUGGGAAUAAUAUCGGAUUUUGGGCUUUCGCGGGCUUUUAACGAUGCUCACACACACAUAUCAACUGUUGCUGCUGGCACUCUUGGCUACCUCGACCCUGAGUACCAUGCAACUUUCCAACUCACUGUCAAGACAGAUGUUUACAGCUUUGGCAUCGUCCUCUUGGAGAUCAUCACUGGCCAGCCCCCAGUAUUGAUGGAACCUCAAACCGCCCAUCUACCGAAUUGGGUGCGCCAAAAUAUAGCUAAGGGAAGCAUUCACGAUAUUGUAGACAAGAGGCUGUUGGAUCAGUAUGAUGUCAGUUCCGUUGAGAGUGCCGUAGACAUUGCCUUGAACUGCGUCGAAAAUGCUUCCAUCGACCGGCCGACCAUGACCGAGGUUGUUUCAAGGCUCAAAGUGUGGCUACCGGCGGUUUCAAGCGAAAAGCACUCUAUUUCCGGGAUUCCCCAGUCUAAGAAAUCCAUGGAUAUUGAAAUUCGAAAGCAGUUCGAGAUGAUGAUAUCUGGUGUCAGCAGUGACGAGAGCUCCUUCCAGUCCGGUCAUACUGGUGGGCUGCUGACAGGAGUAGGCACGUUUUCUGGACGGUGA
Molecule: ribosomal RNA, 2799 nt
Filed under: Triticum aestivum (bread wheat)
Lineage: Eukaryota; Viridiplantae; Streptophyta; Magnoliopsida; Poales; Poaceae
Description: partial small subunit ribosomal RNA
Source: RNAcentral